GACGAACGCUGGCGGCGUGCUUAACACAUGCAAGUCGAACGGAAAGGCCCUGCUUUUGUGGGGUGCUCGAGUGGCGAACGGGUGAGUAACACGUGAGUAACCUGCCCUUGACUUUGGGAUAACUUCAGGAAACCGGGGCUAAUACCGGAUAGGAGCUCCUGCUGCAUGGUGGGGGUUGGAAAGUUUCGGCGGUUGGGGAUGGACUCGCGGCUUAUCAGCUUGUUGGUGGGGUAGUGGCUUACCAAGGCUUUGACGGGUAGCCGGCCUGAGAGGGUGACCGGCCACAUUGGGACUGAGAUGCGGCCCAGACUCCUACGGGAGGCAGCAGUGGGGAAUAUUGCACAAUGGGCGGAGGCCUGAUGCAGCAACGCCGCGUGCGGGAUGACGCCCUUCGGGUUGGAAACCGCUUUCGCCUGUGACGAAGCGUGAGUGACGGUAAUGGGUAAAGAAGCACCGGCUAACUACGUG
RNAcentral lists this ribosomal RNA (468 nucleotides) under uncultured bacterium. Its description in RNAcentral is "partial 16S ribosomal RNA". It matches the Rfam family "Bacterial small subunit ribosomal RNA", at positions 28 to 507 of the family's 1533-position model. The record is from RNAcentral.